Molecule: ribosomal RNA, 303 nt
Filed under: Triticum aestivum (bread wheat)
Lineage: Eukaryota; Viridiplantae; Streptophyta; Magnoliopsida; Poales; Poaceae
Description: partial small subunit ribosomal RNA
Source: RNAcentral
AUGAUAAGUCACGCGGUACCACGCCGACGCCCUCCGCGACGCCUCCGCCUUUGGGCGGUUCGUGAACCAACCCUGCACCUCCUUGUGCAGGCCAUCCACCGAGUCGAUGAUGCGGUCCUUCAUCUCGAAGUACCUCUUGUUGUCCUUCUUCAGGUACAGGAGCCUGUUCCGGAUGUUGCCCGUCAGGAUCUCGUCCUCGUGCUCCGCGCCAUAGUAGCUCAUCAGGGUGCUCAGCUUCUCCGCGUACAUGUCGUAGCACUCCUCCGCGGAUGCCAGGAAUUCCUCGAAGCCAGGGACCUCUAG